Molecule: transfer RNA, 85 nt
Filed under: Candidatus Harrisonbacteria bacterium RIFCSPLOWO2_02_FULL_45_10c
Lineage: Bacteria; Candidatus Harrisoniibacteriota
Description: tRNA-Leu
Rfam family: tRNA
About the family: Transfer RNA (tRNA) molecules are approximately 80 nucleotides in length. Their secondary structure includes four short double-helical elements and three loops (D, anti-codon, and T loops).
Source: RNAcentral
GCCGCUGUGGUGGAAUUGGCAGACACGCACGACUCAAAAUCGUGUGCUGAAAGGCAUGUCGGUUCGACUCCGACCAGCGGCACAA